AAUACCUACGGGGCGCAGCAGUGAGGAAUAUUGGUCAAUGGGCGGGAGCCUGAACCAGCCAAGCCGCGUGAGGGAAGAAGGUACAGCGUAUCGUAAACCUCUUUUGUCAGGGAACAAAGGCGGGGACUAGUCCACGGAUGAGGGUACCUGAAGAACAAGCAUCGGCUAACUCCGUGCCAGCAGCAGCGGUAAUACGGAGGAUGCGAGCGUUAUCCGGAUUUAUUGGGUUUAAAGGGUGCGCAGGCGGCCUGUUAAGUCAGCGGUAAAAGCCCGGGGUUCAA
Molecule: ribosomal RNA, 281 nt
Filed under: uncultured bacterium
Lineage: Bacteria
Description: partial 16S ribosomal RNA
Rfam family: Bacterial small subunit ribosomal RNA
Source: RNAcentral